UACGGAGGGUGCAAGCGUUAAUCGGAAUUACUGGGCGUAAAGCGCGCGUAGGCGGUCUGUUAAGUCAGUGGUUAAAGACUGCGGCUCAACCGUAGCACGCCAUUGAUACUGGCAGACUUGAGUGCGACAGAGGAGACUGGAAUGUGUGGUGUAGCGGUGAAAUGCAUAGAUAUCACACAGAACACCAAUUGCGAAGGCAGGUCUCUAUGCCGUAACUGACGCUAAGGCACGAAAGCGUGGGUAGCGAACAGG
This 252-nucleotide ribosomal RNA is filed under the name uncultured bacterium. RNAcentral's name for it is "partial 16S ribosomal RNA". It matches the Rfam family "Bacterial small subunit ribosomal RNA", at positions 524 to 776 of the family's 1533-position model. The record is from RNAcentral.